This 55-nucleotide transfer RNA is filed under the name Gnidia denudata. RNAcentral describes it as "tRNA-Leu(UAA)". Lineage: Eukaryota; Viridiplantae; Streptophyta; Magnoliopsida; Malvales; Thymelaeaceae. The record is from RNAcentral.
AAAAUCCGUCGACUUUUAAAAUCGUGAGGGUUCAAGUCCCUUACCCUUGACGCCC